Molecule: long non-coding RNA, 554 nt
Organism: Carassius gibelio (silver crucian carp)
Lineage: Eukaryota; Metazoa; Chordata; Actinopteri; Cypriniformes; Cyprinidae
Exons: 4
Source: RefSeq, a predicted model, not a curated record
CUGCUGUUCCAACACAGACCAUCACACCACAACUCUGUGCUCUGCCAAAACCACCAGGCUGCACAUCAUUCUGGACUGUGGUGUCAGUGUGCCCCCUCCUGGAGUGUUGCCUCACCUGCAUACUGUUGAACAGAGUACAGAUAGCACUUUCCUCCUCCUCAGCGUUUGUCCGCACUUCACCGACCAUGGCCUUCAGCAAUACGAUGGCCUCUCGCGCUGACGUCUGCAGCUCCUUCACUGCCUACAGGGCAAAUGAGAGGGGGCAAUAGAGGCGAUUUUCACUGGCCCUGCCAUGCAGACAACUGGCACAGAAGAUGUGGUAGCAGUCCAGAAGACAUGGACCCUGAUGCCAAGCAGCUGACUGUGGUGAAGGGGAGGGGAACUGGAUACAAAGGGAGACUGAGGGGGUUGCCAAAGGUAAAACUGAAGAAACCAGAUCCUGUGCACCCUGGCAGGAGGACAGCAAAAAUAAUUCUACUCUUUGUGCAAUGGAAUAUCAAUGGUCUCUUCAGUUACUGUUAUUGUUAAAGAGGUUAAUAUGUUAAUAUUUUCAA